CCCUUAGAUGCUCUGGGCCGCACGCGCGCUACACUGACCAGUGCAACAAGCAUCCGUCCUUGGCCGACAGGCUCGGGCAAUCUUUGAACGCUGGUCGUGAUGGGGAUAGACUUUUGCAAUUUUUGGUCUUCAACGAGGAAUUCCUAGUAAACGCAAGUCAUCAACUUGCAUUGAUUACGUCCCUGCCCUUUGUACACACCGCCCGUCGCACCUACCGAUUGAAUGGUCCGGUGAAGCCUCCGGAUUGGCGCGCACCUCGGUGCCGCCGAGAAGUUGGCUAAACCUUACCAUUUAGAGGAAGGUGAAGUCGUAACA
RNAcentral lists this ribosomal RNA (315 nucleotides) under uncultured eukaryote. RNAcentral describes it as "partial 18S ribosomal RNA". It matches the Rfam family "Eukaryotic small subunit ribosomal RNA", at positions 1470 to 1796 of the family's 1831-position model. The record is from RNAcentral.